This is a long non-coding RNA of Melanotaenia boesemani (Boeseman's rainbowfish), 487 nucleotides long. RefSeq lists it as uncharacterized. The record is from RefSeq and is a predicted model, not a curated record. The transcript is spliced from 2 exons. Lineage: Eukaryota; Metazoa; Chordata; Actinopteri; Atheriniformes; Melanotaeniidae.
CGGGGAACCGGAAGCAUAGAAGAAGAAAACACAGGAGAAGGAAAAAAACGGGGUACCUCGUGCUGCGGCAAGAAGACAGUGAGCGUGAAAAGACAGUAAAAGUGAUCACGGCAAAUCCCCUUGGGCCUGGAUAGCUGUCCUUCGUUUCAGUGGAUUGCCGAGGAGUUCAUGAGUGACCUGGAUCACGAGGGAGUGAGUUGAGCCGUGUUUCCAGGACAGAACAGUGCACGCUGCACUAAGCUAACGUGGAAGCUAGGGCCCGUGAGUCUGACUGUUUUACCUCGUUACGAGCGGCACGGAGAAGAGACGUGUCGCCAGUGAAGGACCAGCAGUUGGAGAUGACCGGGAAGAGGGAUUCUGUUGCACAUGACUUUUUCCUGCGAAGAUGAGGAAUAACUGCAGACUGGUAUGAUCACGGCACCCAAAUUAGUUCCAUUCAUUUGAGCUCCAAGGCGCGCCAACAGUCUAAACUGCAAGCUUGCAUUAA